This 461-nucleotide ribosomal RNA is filed under the name uncultured bacterium. RNAcentral's name for it is "bacterial SSU rRNA". It matches the Rfam family "Bacterial small subunit ribosomal RNA", at positions 28 to 526 of the family's 1533-position model. The record is from RNAcentral.
GAUGAACGCUGGCGGCGUGCCUAAUACAUGCAAGUCGAGCGGUAAGGCUACUUCGGUAGUACACGAGCGGCGGACGGCUGAGUAACACGUAGGAACGUACCCCAAACUGAGGGAUAACUGCUCGAAAGAGUAGCUAAUACCGCAUGUGCUCUUCGGAGUAAAGCUACGGCGGUUUGGGAACGGCCUGCGUAAGAUUAGAUAGUUGGUGAGGUAAUGGCUCACCAAGUCGACGAUCUUUAGCUGGUCUGAGAGGAUGAUCAGCCAGACUGGGACUGAGAACGGCCCAGACUCCUACGGGAGGCAGCAGUAGGGAAUCUUCCACAAUGGACGAAAGUCUGAUGGAGCAACGCCGCGUGCAGGAUGAAUGUCUUCGGAUUGUAAACUGCUUUUCUCUGUGACGAAUAUGACGGUAGCAGAGGAAUAAGGACCUGCUAACUACGUGCCAGCAGCCGCAGUAAAAC